AUAAUAUAAUAUAAUAUAAUAUAAUAAUAUAAUAUAAUAUAAUAUAAAAGUCUAGAGUAUAAUCAUCCAGAGUAUAAUCACCUAUAGUAUAAUCAUUAAUAAUAUAAUCCGAGAAGUUGAAUAAUAUUAUAUAGGUGAAAUAAUCUGGCUCCACUAAACUUGCCAACAAGGUUCUCUGGCCCUUGUGUAGGCAGUGCUCUUUGGUCCCAGGAGCUCCCUGGCCCAAUGUGAAUCCAGAGGAAGACUCUGAAGCUUUAGGAUGCCUCUAGACCACAUCCCCCCAGGAGAUGAGGUCAGAAAUAGAGCACAUGGCUGAGAAGGUUAUGGUUCAACCCAGAACUUCAAAGACUGUCAAAAGUGAACAAACCCUGGGGAAGGGCACUGCCUUGAACAACUGCCUCUUUGGACCCAAAAAGUGCCCUGGUGUAGACAGAGGUCCCAGGGGAGCAGGACACUGACUGUGCCUUCUUGUGUUAACAGCAGAGACCAUAAGGAACUUAGAUUAUGUCUCCGUCUCUCCAGGGAACACCGUGUAUGCUUGUGUCACUCUUCCAAACAAGCAAACAAAUAUCCCAACACCUGUGAAAAGCAGUGAUUUCUCCACCAUUUACUCCACAGUUCAUCAGUCCAAAGAGAGUAAACCUAUUUCUUCCAGGACAACUGCCCUUGACAACGUCAUCUAAAUUGCUGAGAGGUCUCAAAAGGAGCUCAGGAAUGACACAGCUUCUCCUGAUCCCAUGGGAGAGAACCCAGCUUGGUUUCUGCCUGGCAACAGAAUUUGAAUCUUUAGGCUUAUUACUUGCAGUUCUUCAGACUAGAACCUGCUUCAGUACGUCAAACGUCUAAGGAAUAACAUCAUUUCCAGCGUGUGAACCAAAUAACAUUUUCUAAUCCGCUCCAGGCCAAAAAAUGCUUCUGUGAACAAGCCUGGACGUUGACUUUCUCUUUGGCAACCGAUGGAGUUUUGUGCUUGACAGAGAAUUAUAAUUCAGAAGACAACCACUCCUCUCCUUCUAGAAAGCAGCCCGAUUGUGAUUCACUGGGAGAGAGAACAGUGUAUUUGUUAUGUGUGAUGUCUCUGGAAUUGCAUGGGCCUUGUCCCAAAUCCUCGCACAUCAUUGACCCGACAUAUCUCCUGGGACGUGUUCUGAAACUCUUGAGCUCUGGUCUCCUAGACUGAAAAAUGGGGAUCAGCCUGUUACUCAAACCAGGAACCGGAGUUAACCUUGACUUCAGCUGUUCUACCACCAGCCCCUUUGGACUCUACCUCUGAAUACGUAUUGUAGACCGACCCACUUCUCACCAGUCCUUUAACCUCCGCCCUAUAUUAACCCAUCAUCAUCUCCAACCUGGAAUAUGACAGUAAGCUCCAAACAAAUUUCCCCGAUUUUUGCUCUUAUCUCCCUCCAAUCCAUUCUCUACAAGACAGGGGGAGUAAUAUUUUUAAUAUAAAUCAGAUCCUUCACUUGUCUGUUUUAAAUCGACCCUGCAAGACUUCCCAGGCACUCGGAAAGAAACUGAGUCUCUGUGGCUCUGGAUGGCCUGGGCCAUCUGCAACCUCAGCCAUCAGGUCUCCUUCCGCCCCCUCUCUGAUUUGGCUUCUCUGAUUCUCUUUCAGCCCCUCCAUCAGAAGAGAGAGUUUACCCAACAUGUGCCUGGGGACCCUUCUCUGCCAGUCUGGUUCCUCCUUACAGGUCCCACUGCAUAUAUGUCCCCCUCCAAGAACAACCUUCAGACCCCUGUACCAAACGCUAACCCUAACCUUAACCCCCGUUAUUCUGUCGCAUCUUCCAUGUCAUUUAUCACGUCAUUAAAUAUUUAUUUGUAUUUAAUGUCUGUUUCUCCCUACUCUACUGUAUGCUCUCCAGGAACGGGGACCACGAUGAUGUUAUCUCUGUAUCCGGAAGCACCCAGCACAGUGUCUAGCACAUAGAAAAUGUUCAACAAAUACUUUUUAAUAAAUAAAUGAAUAUGCGAUGGAGUUUUGUGAGAAUUAAAGACGAUGUGCCUACAGCCCUUUGUGUGGUGCCUCACACGAAAGAGCUCAAGAAAUAGACAGGCUAAGUGCUGAGUCACCAGGCCAUCGUCCCCAGAGCAGUUCGAGGACGUGCCAGGAUAACGCGUGUGAGCUCCAUUACUCUCCUUGCCUGCUGAAGGAGCCAUCCGGGGGUUAUGGGCUUUCUCCCAGUCCUGCAGAGCCAAGCCAGCUGCUGGCAUCCGUGCUGGCUGCUGCGAGCCGUGUG
Molecule: RNA transcript, 2243 nt
Organism: Ailuropoda melanoleuca (giant panda)
Lineage: Eukaryota; Metazoa; Chordata; Mammalia; Carnivora; Ursidae
Exons: 4
Source: RefSeq, a predicted model, not a curated record